Molecule: ribosomal RNA, 253 nt
Filed under: uncultured prokaryote
Description: partial 16S ribosomal RNA
Rfam family: Bacterial small subunit ribosomal RNA
Source: RNAcentral
UACGGGGGGAGCAAGCGUUGUUCGGAUUUACUGGGCGUAAAGGGCGCGUAGGCGGCGCAACAAGUCACUUGUGAAAUCUCCGGGCUUAACUCGGAGCGGCCAAGUGAUACUGUCGUGCUAGAGUGCGGAAGGGGCUACUGGAAUUCUCGGUGUAGCGGUGAAAUGCGUAGAUAUCGGGAAGAACACCUAUGGCGAAGGCAGCUCUCUGGGACGGUACUGACGCUGAGACGCGAAAGCGUGGGGAGCGAACAGG